AACGUUUCAGGCCCAUCAUCCCAUCCUGCAAAUGGUGCUGAAUCUUCCAAGAAGGUAAGUGAAUCAGAGACUCUAAAUGAUCUGAAGAUGCCAGCUCGGCAAAACACUGGUACCCAUUUGCAGUGUCAAUCUGGUGGACAAGAGGGUGGAUCAGUCCUACCGGGGAGUAACAUACCAUCUACUCUAAUUUCUUCUCCUGAUCAGCAGAGUGCUAGGUUUGCAAGCUCUCAUGGCAAUAAUAAACGCUCAGCUGGAAGAAAAGCUCAAAUCACAAAUGGCAACCAUUUGCUCAAUUUUCAAUAUGAUCCCAUUUCUCGUCCUCGUCCUCGAGCCAGAGCUCCUCCUCCAAGAAGGCCACAGAAGAUAAA
This 368-nucleotide unclassified non-coding RNA is filed under the name Hevea brasiliensis (rubber tree). Lineage: Eukaryota; Viridiplantae; Streptophyta; Magnoliopsida; Malpighiales; Euphorbiaceae. The record is from RNAcentral.